GAGAAGCUUGCUUCUUGGGUGGCGAGUGGCGAACGGGUGAGUAACAUAUCGGAACGUACCGAGUAAUGGGGGAUAACUAAUCGAAAGAUUAGCUAAUACCGCAUAUUCUCUGAGGAGGAAAGCAGGGGACCUUCGGGCCUUGCGUUAUUUGAGCGGCCGAUAUCUGAUUAGCUAGUUGGUGGGGUAAAGGCCUACCAAGGCGACGAUCAGUAGCGGGUCUGAGAGGAUGAUCCGCCACACUGGGACUGAGACACGGCCCAGACUCCUACGGGAGGCAGCAGUGGGGAAUUUUGGACAAUGGGCGCAAGCCUGAUCCAGCCAUGCCGCGUGUCUGAAGAAGGCCUUCGGGUUGUAAAGGACUUUUGUCAGGGAAGAAAAGGACAGGGUUAAUACCCCUGUCUGAUGACG
Molecule: ribosomal RNA, 408 nt
Filed under: Neisseria subflava
Lineage: Bacteria; Pseudomonadati; Pseudomonadota; Betaproteobacteria; Neisseriales; Neisseriaceae
Description: bacterial SSU rRNA
Rfam family: Bacterial small subunit ribosomal RNA
Source: RNAcentral